UUUCACUCAUAAUUGUUUUCAGCUUUGCGUAACUGGACGUCUUGAAAGCACUGAGUGUAUAGAAUUGCUGGUUAGGAUUUCAUUUGGGUUGCUUGCAAUUAAUGUAAACCAGCCUCUCUGAUUCCUUCCUUUGUAGCUGUCAGGACAAGUCUAAUACCGGUGUUACCUCGAGUUGGCUGCUGCUUUUUUAUGUCUGGAUUUCCAUAGGUGUCAGUACGUGCCCACUCCUUAAGAAGCACUGAGGGAGGAGUGGAUGAUCUCCAAAUUCGUGUUUCCCCUUGCCUUACUGGGGUGAAAGAGCUGUGAGUUUGUGACUUCCUGCUUUUUGAGAGAGAGCUCCAGCUGUGCAGAGCCUUUUGCUGCAGGACCUGCCAUGAGGAUCACCUCGGUUGAGGAGCCUCAGCCUCCCUGGACACAUACCUUCUCCUCUGGACUAAGAAAAGGAGUUGCGGUUGUUCCCCAUGCUCCUGUGGCCUCAUCAGAUCAAGGAGCUGCGUAUUGCAAACAAGACGUUUUGAAUCCCUCAAGGAGCAUCCAGGAUGGAAUGAGAUUAGGUCUGGUCUUCAUACCCUACUUCCUCCAAGCAGACUCUGAGAAAAGGUCAAGGAUAAAGAAGAAUAAGGCAAGUUUCUGCUACAAUCAACCAAAAAUGAGUUGGCUUACUGGGUCAAGUCCAAUCUUUAAGUAA
This 688-nucleotide long non-coding RNA is filed under the name Numida meleagris (helmeted guineafowl). RNAcentral's name for it is "lncRNA (ENSNMEG00000008013.1)". The record is from RNAcentral. Lineage: Eukaryota; Metazoa; Chordata; Aves; Galliformes; Numididae.